Molecule: long non-coding RNA, 1180 nt
Organism: Diceros bicornis minor
Lineage: Eukaryota; Metazoa; Chordata; Mammalia; Perissodactyla; Rhinocerotidae
Exons: 2
Source: RefSeq, a predicted model, not a curated record
GGGAGGAGCGGCCUGGGGGCCCGAGAGGUGGCUGUGGCGAGCCCCGCCUGUCCUCCCACCCGCACCCUGGCCCGGGCGCGCCGUCCGCCAUCAGGAAGCCCAGGAAACUAAAACGUUUUUGUGGACCCUGGGCAUUGUACCUAAUGGAUUAGUCGGCCCUCCCCGCUCUCUGGCCUACCUGGCUGCUCCAUAAAUGUCCGAGAAGGAAGGACAUACAAGAGCCCUGGUGGGAAGGCCCUCUGGGCAGGACUGUCCUCUGGCUCUCUCUUCAAAACUCCCCGGGCUGAUAUAAGGAACUCAUACAACUCAUAAUAAAAAACCAAAUAACCCAGCUGAAAAAUGGGCAAAGAAACAGAAUAGACAUUUCCCCAAAGAAGACAUACAAAUGGCCAACAGAUAUUUGAAAAGCUGCUCAACAUCACUUAUCAUCAGGGAAAUGCAAAUCUAAACCACAAUGAGAUGUCACCUCACAAAUGUUAGAAUGGUUAUUAUGAAAAGACAGAAGAUAAGUGUUGGUGAGGAUGUGAAGAAAAGGGAACCUUUGUGCACUGUUGGUGGGAAUGUAAAUUGAUUCAGCCACUAUGGAAAACAGUAUGGAGGUUCCUCAAGAAAUUAAAAACAGAACUACCAUAUGAUCCAGCAAUCCCAUUUCUGUGUAUCUAUCUGAAGGAAUUGAAAUCAGGAUCUCAAAGGGAUAUCUGCCGUCCCAUGUUCAGUGCAGCACUAUUCACAAUGGCCAAGACAUGAAAGCAACCUAAACGUCCAUGAAUGGAUGAAUGGAAAAAGAAAAUGCGGUACGUAUAUACAUACAAUAGAAUACUAUUCAGCCUUAAAAAAGAAGGAAACUGCCGUUUGCAACAACAUGGAUGAAGCUGGAAGUGAAAGAAGCCAGAUACAGAAAGACGAAUAUGGCAUGAUCUCAUUUACAGGAGGAAUCAAACUCAGAGAAGCAGAGAGUAGAAUGGUUUAAAAAACAAACUCCCAAGGCUGGUCACAGCCACAUGGCUGGCAUGCCCCUCUCCUCCUUCCCCUUUCUGUGUCAUCUCCCCCUCAAUUGGCUCCAAAUCUUCACUGCCUUAUAUGGCAGCCACUAGCCACAUGUGGCUAUUUAAAUUUUAAUUAAUUAAAAUUAAAUAAAUUUUAAAUAAUAUUUAUAAUUCAAAUAAAAUUUAAAUUUCAA